GAUCAUGGCUCAGGAUGAACGCUGGCGGCGUGCUUAACACAUGCAAGUCGAACGGAGUUUUAAACGGAAGUUUUCGGAUGGAAGUUUAGAAACUUAGUGGCGGACGGGUGAGUAACGCGUGGGUAACCUGCCUCAUACAGGGGGAUAACAGUUAGAAAUGACUGCUAACACCGCAUAAUAUAGCGAAACCGCAUGAUUUUGCUAUCAAAUAUUUAUAGGUAUGAGAUGGGCCCGCGUCUGAUUAGCUAGUUGGUGGGGUAAAGCCUACCAAGGCGACGAUCAGUAGCCGGCUUGAGAGAGUGACCGGCCACAUUGGGACUGAGACACGGCCCAAACUCCUACGGGAGGCAGCAGUGGGGAAUAUUGGACAAUGGGGGAAACCCUGAUCCAGCGAACCGCCGCGUGAGUGAAGAAGUAUUUCGGUAUGUAAAGCUCUAUCAGCAGGGAAGAUAAUGACAGUACCUGACUAAGAAGCCCCGGCUAACUACGUGCCAGCAGCCGC
Molecule: ribosomal RNA, 502 nt
Filed under: uncultured bacterium
Lineage: Bacteria
Description: bacterial SSU rRNA
Rfam family: Bacterial small subunit ribosomal RNA
Source: RNAcentral